Molecule: ribosomal RNA, 430 nt
Filed under: uncultured bacterium
Lineage: Bacteria
Description: bacterial SSU rRNA
Rfam family: Bacterial small subunit ribosomal RNA
Source: RNAcentral
GUGGGGAAUAUUGCACAAUGGGCGGAAGCCUGAUGCAGCGACGCCGCGUGAGGGAUGACGGCCUUCGGGUUGUAAACCUCUUUCAGCAGGGACGAAGCGUAAGUGACGGUACCUGCAGAAGAAGCGCCGGCCAACUACGUGCCAGCAGCCGCGGUAAGACGUAGGGCGCGAGCGUUGUCCGGAUUUAUUGGGCGUAAAGAGCUCGUAGGCGGCUUGUCGCGUCGUUCGUGAAAACCUGCAGCUCAACUGCAGGCUUGCGGUCGAUACGGGCAGGCUAGAGUUCGGUAGGGGAGACUGGAAUUCCUGGUGUAGCGGUGAAAUGCGCAGAUAUCAGGAGGAACACCGGUGGCGAAGGCGGGUCUCUGGGCCGAUACUGACGCUGAGGAGCGAAAGCGUGGGGAGCGAACAGGAUUAGAUACCCGAGUAGUCC